AGUUUGAUCAUGGCUCAGAUUGAACGCUGGCGGGAUGUUUACACAGUAAGUCGAACGGCAGCACGGACUUCGGUCUGGUGGCGAGUGGCGAACGGGUGAGUAAUGUAUCGGAACGUGCCUAGUAGCGGGGGAUAACUACGCGAAAGCGUAGCUAAUACCGCAUACGGGCCCUUCGGGGAAAGCGGGGACCUUCGGGCCUCGCACUAUUAGAGCGGCCGAUAUCGGAUUAGCUAGUUGGUGGGGUAACGGCUCACCACAGUGACGAUCCGUAGCUGGUUUGAGAGGACGACCAGCCACACUGGGACUGAGACACGGCCCAGACUCCUACGGGAGGCAGCAGGGGGCUCCUGGGAUGAAUGGGGAAACCUCAUCCAGCCAUCCCGCGUGCGAUGAAGGCCUUCGGUUGUAAAGCACUUUUGACAGGAAGAAACGGCACGGGAUAAUACCCCGUGCAACUGACGGUACCUGCAGAAUAAGCACCGGCUAACUACGUGCCAGCAGCCGCGGUAAUACUGUAGGGUGCAAGCGUUAAUCGGAAUUACUGGGCGGGAAGCGUGCGCAGGUGGUUCGGAAAGAAAGAUGUGAAAUCCCAGAGCUUAACUUUGGAACUGCAUUUUUAACUACCGAGCUAGAGUGUGUCAGGAGGGAGGUGGAAUUCCGCGUAGCAGUGAAAUGGCGUAGAUAUGCGGAGGAACACCGAUGGCGAAGGCAGCCUCCUGGGAUAACACUGACGCUCAUGCACGAAAGCGUGGGAGCAAACAGGAUUAGAUACCCUGGUAGUCCACGCCCUAAACGAUGUCAACUAGCUUUUCGUUGGGGCCUUCGGGCCUUGGUAGCGCAGCUAACGCGUGAAGUUGACCGCCUGGGGAGUACGGUCGCAAGAUUAAAACUCAAAGGAAUUGAUUUGGGACCCGCACAAGCGGUGGAUGAUGUGGAUUAAUUCGAUGCAACGCGAAAAACCUUACCUACCCUUGACAUGUCUGGAAUCCCGAAGAGAUUUGGGGAGUGCUCGCAAGAGAACCGAACACAGGUGCUGCAUGGCUGUCGUCAGCUCGUGUCGUGAGAUGUUGGGUUAAGUCCCCGCAACGAGCGCAACCCUUGUCAUUAUUACGCCGAAAGGACACUCUAAUGAGACUGCCGGUGACAAACCGGAGGAAGGUGGGGAUGACGUCAAGUCCUCAUGGCCCUUAUGGGUAGGGCUUCACACGUCAUACAAUGGUCGGGACAGAGGGUCGCCAACCCGCGAGGGGGAGCCAAUCCCAGAAACCCGAUCGUAGUCCGGAUCGCAGUCUGCAACUCGACUGCGUGAAGUCGGAAUCGCUAGUAAUCGCGGAUCAGCAUGUCGCGGUGAAUACGUUCCCGGGUCUUGUACACACCGCCCGUCACAUCAUGGGAGUGGGUUUUACCAGAAGUAGUUAGCCUAACCGUAAGGAGGGCGAUUACCACGGUAGAUUCAGACUGGGGUGAAGUCGUAACAAAGGUAG
This 1484-nucleotide ribosomal RNA is filed under the name uncultured Bordetella sp. RNAcentral's name for it is "partial 16S-23S ribosomal RNA intergenic spacer". It matches the Rfam family "Bacterial small subunit ribosomal RNA". Lineage: Bacteria; Pseudomonadati; Pseudomonadota; Betaproteobacteria; Burkholderiales; Alcaligenaceae. The record is from RNAcentral.